GACGAACGCUGGCGGCGUGCUUAACACAUGCAAGUCGAACGGAAAGGCCCUGCUUUUGUGGGGUGCUCGAGUGGCGAACGGGUGAGUAACACGUGAGUAACCUGCCCUUGACUUUGGGAUAACUUCAGGAAACUGGGGCUAAUACCGGAUAGGAGCUCCUGCUGCAUGGUGGGGGUUGGAAAGUUUCGGCGGUUGGGGAUGGACUCGCGGCUUAUCAGCUUGUUGGUGGGGUAGUGGCUUACCAAGGCUUUGACGGGUAGCCGGCCUGAGAGGGUGGCCGGCCACAUUGGGACUGAGAUACGGCCCAGACUCCUACGGGAGGCAGCAGUGGGGAAUAUUGCACAAUGGGCGGAAGCCUGAUGCAGCAACGCCGCGUGCGGGAUGACGGCCUUCGGGUUGUAAACCGCUUUCGCCUGUGACGAAGCGUGAGUGACAGUAAUGGGUAAAGAAGCACCGGCUAGCUACGUGCCAGCAGCCGCGGUGAUACGUAGGGUGCGAGCGUUGUCCGGAUUUAUUGGGCGUAAAGGGCUCGUAGGUGGUUGAUCGCGUCGGAAGUGUAAUCUUGGGGCUUAACCCUGAGCGUGCUUUCGAUACGGGUUGACUUGAGGAAGGUAGGGGAGAAUGGAAUUCCUGGUGGAGCGGUGGAAUGCGCAGAUAUCAGGAGGAACACCAGUGGCGAAGGCGGUUCUCUGGGCCUUUCCUGACGCUGAGGAGCGAAAGCGUGGGGAGCGAACAGGCUUAGAUACCCUGGUAGUCCACGCUGUAAACGGUGGGUACUAGGUGUGGGGUCCAUUCCACGGGUUCCGUGCCGUAGCUAACGCUUUAAGUACCCCGCCUGGGGAGUACGGCCGCAAGGCUAAAACUCAAAGGAAUUGACGGGGCCCCGCACAAGCGGCGGAGCAUGCGGAUUAAUUCGAUGCAACGCGUAGAACCUUACCUGGGUUUGACAUGGAUCGGGAGUGCUCAGAGAUGGGUGUGCCUCUUUUGGGGUCGGUUCACAGGUGGUGCAUGCCUGUCGUCAGCUCGUGUCGUGAGAUGUUGGGUUAAGUCCCGCAACGAGCGCAACCCUUGUUCACUGUUGCCAGCACGUUAUGGUGGGGACUCAGUGGAGACCGCCGGGGUCAACUCGGAGGAAGGUGGGGAUGACGUCAAGUCAUCAUGCCCCUUAUGUCCAGGGCUUCACGCAUGCUACAAUGGCUGGUACAGAGAGUGGCGAGCCUGUGAGGGUGAGCGAAUCUCGGAAAGCCGGUCUCAGUUCGGAUUGGGGUCUGCAACUCGACCUCAUGAAGUCGGAGUCGCUAGUAAUCGCAGAUCAGCAACGCUGCGGUGAAUACGCUCCCGGG
This 1343-nucleotide ribosomal RNA is filed under the name uncultured bacterium. RNAcentral describes it as "16S ribosomal RNA". It matches the Rfam family "Bacterial small subunit ribosomal RNA", at positions 28 to 1378 of the family's 1533-position model. The record is from RNAcentral.